UUGGACUGCUUCUGUGUCUCUUUAGGUGU
This 29-nucleotide non-coding RNA is filed under the name Homo sapiens (human). Lineage: Eukaryota; Metazoa; Chordata; Mammalia; Primates; Hominidae. The record is from RNAcentral.